UGUGGCAACUGCCAACAACUAUCACUUCCCGAUAAACUUGGGACGGCGCCGACAGGAUUAGCAUCACCCCUGCGCAAGGAUGACACACGCAUAGAGAAAAAGACUUCAUUUCA
Molecule: small nuclear RNA, 113 nt
Filed under: Triticum aestivum (bread wheat)
Lineage: Eukaryota; Viridiplantae; Streptophyta; Magnoliopsida; Poales; Poaceae
Source: RNAcentral